Molecule: long non-coding RNA, 215 nt
Organism: Sinocyclocheilus rhinocerous
Lineage: Eukaryota; Metazoa; Chordata; Actinopteri; Cypriniformes; Cyprinidae
Exons: 3
Source: RefSeq, a predicted model, not a curated record
CCUGAUACGUGAGUUUGAAUGAGAAUGCACGCCUUGGCGGUAAUGCAUAGACGGACAUUAUGUGAAAAUGUGGACAGUGCCAAAAUAAAGGUGCCUAUUUAUACAGAUAUCGAUAUUUUGCAUGUGGCGUCGAUGCAUCGUAUCGUCAGACAUCGUAUCGAUGUAUCGAUCCAUAUCGAUGAAUCGUUACACCCCUAAUCAGUAAUAAACGAAAA